RNAcentral lists this ribosomal RNA (497 nucleotides) under uncultured bacterium. RNAcentral's name for it is "partial 16S ribosomal RNA". It matches the Rfam family "Bacterial small subunit ribosomal RNA", at positions 28 to 507 of the family's 1533-position model. The record is from RNAcentral.
GAUGAACGCUGGCGGCGUGCCUAAUACAUGCAACUCGAGCGAACGGACGAGAAGCUUGCUUCUCUGAUGUUAGCGGCGGACGGGUGAGUAACACGUGGAUAACCUACCUAUAAGACUGGGAUAACUUCGGGAAACCGGAGCUAAUACCGGAUAAUAUUUUGAACCGCAUGGUUCAAAAGUGAAAGACGGUCUUGCUGUCACUUAUAGAUGGAUCCGCGCUGCAUUAGCUAGUUGGUAAGGUAACGGCUUACCAAGGCAACGAUGCAUAGCCGACCUGAGAGGGUGAUCGGCCACACUGGAACUGAGACACGGUCCAGACUCCUACGGGAGGCAGCAGUAGGGAAUCUUCCGCAAUGGGCGAAAGCCCGACGGAGCAACGCCGCGUGAGUGAUGAAGGUCUUCGGAUCGUAAAACUCUGUUAUUAGGGAAGAACAUAUGUGUAAGUAACUGUGCACAUCUUGACGGUACCUAAUCAGAAAGCCACGGCUAACUACGUG